RNAcentral lists this transfer RNA (86 nucleotides) under Candidatus Phelpsiimicrobium noxiivivens. RNAcentral describes it as "Candidatus Omnitrophica bacterium CG1_02_44_16 tRNA-Tyr". It matches the Rfam family "tRNA". From Rfam's summary of the family: Transfer RNA (tRNA) molecules are approximately 80 nucleotides in length. Their secondary structure includes four short double-helical elements and three loops (D, anti-codon, and T loops). Further hydrogen bonds mediate the characteristic L-shaped molecular structure. tRNAs have two regions of fundamental functional importance: the anti-codon, which is responsible for specific mRNA codon recognition, and the 3' end, to which the tRNAs corresponding amino acid is attached (by aminoacyl-tRNA synthetases). tRNAs cope with the degeneracy of the genetic code in two manners: having more than one tRNA (with a specific anti-codon) for a particular amino acid; and 'wobble' base-pairing, i.e. permitting non-standard base-pairing at the 3rd anti-codon position. Lineage: Bacteria; Pseudomonadati; Candidatus Omnitrophota. The record is from RNAcentral. RNAcentral also lists the same sequence under 2 other names.
GGACGGGUACCCAAGUGGCUAAAGGGGGCAGACUGUAAAUCUGCUGCACACAAGCUUCAGAGGUUCAAAUCCUCUCCCGUCCACCA